GACCUUGGGUUUUAACAAUCGAUCGAAUGAAGUAGAGAUCGAUUAUUCUAGAGUCUCUCAGUCUUGUGUUAGUCUCGGCGCAGUCCAGUCCACCAGGAACGUGGCUGUCUGCCUCUGUAACGAGUUAAAGUUAAGUGUUGUUCUAUCAAGUUGUUGUUUCUUCCUGGUGUACCAUGUGCAAAUUAGACGAAUGCUGUUGUGGCUGUUCACUCCGGACUGGUACCAUAGCAAUUGGCGUCUCCUCAUUGGCAACUUCAAUUGGAGUCAUCAUUGUGAGAGCAAUCAACAUCUCCACUUUCCGACCGAUUUCGCUAAAUGACAAUAUUAUGUAUUAUUAUUUGUGCAUCGGUCAUGCGGUUUUGUCGAUGCUCACCACCGCUCUUGUUCUGUUCUCCACGUGGAAGAAUCGUAUGCCCAGGCUGCUGUUGCCUUGGCUCGUGAUGCAAAUUACAGCGUUGAUUGCUUUUUGUUCGUUCUUGCUCUUUUGGGCUGUUGUGUUCAUAGCAGCAGGUAUUCCAACAGGAAUAGGUAACAUAUUGGGCGCUUGUGCUGUAGGAGCUCUAGGGUUCUACUUCUGGUUAGUGGUUCUCAGUUACUAUCAAGAACUGAAGGUUAAGGCGAUGAUUGAGCAACAGGAAACAGAGAAAGGUGCAGAGCAGUUUCAUGAUUGAUUGAGUCAUUUUUCUCUCAGUGGCAAAUGGAGUAUGCAGGUCAAGAUUUAUUUUUAGGUCUUACGUAUGUGUGCGUUCUUUAUGCCAUAGUGUUAGCUGCUUUUGGUUUCUUUUCGCUCAUUUUCCGAGAUGGAUUGGUCUGUAUCGUUGCGUUUUCAUUUUGUGUUGGUUCUCAUUAAAACUGGUUUCUUUGUUAUUGGUGGGCAACUCUCUCACGUAGUCUCUAUACUGAUAAUGACAAACUAAAACUUGGAUACAAUUUGUUAUUGUGGUUAGACGCAAGUGCAGAAAUUUUUGUUUUUCGUUAUCAACAUCUGGGUUUGUUAUUUGUGUUAGAUAAGUGUUGCCGAUCUAUGGUAGUCAACUGUUAUUCCAGAGAUGAAACGGUUAUUCAGAUGAAAUUCAAACGAUAUUAGUCUAGUCAUGUUAAUUAUCGUCAGAAUUUGAUGGCAUCAGACUGAUUUUUAAAUGAAAGUAGACCUUCAUGUGUGAGUAAUUAAUAAUUAGAUCGAACCUUUUUGUAUUAAUGAAAUUAGAUAAGAUAAGAUAAUCAUUAAAUUUAUCUCGAAUCCCACACAUUUUUCCUUUUAAUAUAUUAAAACUGAAUAAAGAUUCGUGGCGCAGUUGCAUUUCUGUGCUGAAACUAGAACACGCCAUUGUCGUUCAUACCCAGCUAGAGAAUGAAAACAAAAAUUAGAGUCAACCAAUUUUGUUGCGGUUGUUCGCUACAAACUGGUACAAAGGUGGUUGGCGCUUUGUCUUUGAUAUUUCAAAUAAUUGGACUCGUCAUUUUUCUUUUGUCGACUUCAAGCGAUGCGUCUGAUGUUGAAGGCGGAAUAGUCUCCUUUAAAUUUAUCGGACGUAUAAUUUCUACCAUUUUCUUGGUGACCGCAAUCAUUUUGGUUUUGGUAUCCGCUACGAAGAAUAACCGGCCGAUGCUUUUAUUGCCUUGGCUAAUUCUUCAAGUCUUGUCGAUAAUUACAGGCAUCGUCUCUUCAUUAUACAUUGGCAUUUGUCUUUUAAUAGCCGUGCCGAAUAUAUCGGGAUUGAUUUUUAUGACUCUCGGUCUCGGUGCAUCAAUAAUCGGCAUCUACUUUUGGCUGGUGGUUUAUAGCUACUAUCACGAACUGAAGGCAGUAACGAAGAAGCAGCCCAAAGUGGAAGAGAAAACGACCAUCGUGAUUGUUGAAUGCGAAAAACAUUUGCUCACAAUAGACUAGUGUAAGAUUUGUUAACUAUAACCAUCUGUCGGUUACGAAAAGUACAAGUCAGCAUUUUCUUUUUAAAUUUCACAUCUGCCAUUUGUUUUUGAAACGUCGAUCAAAAUUCAAACGUGAAAUUUAACCUUGUCGGCAAUUGCGAUAUAAUUACGCUUUUUUUUUUAAUUUUAUGUUGGUAAAAUAAAAAAAAUAUAAAUGCUUAUCCUGGAAUAUGAUUAGAUAAGUCUCGAACUCAAGCGGAUGCAGACGAACUAUAAACAAAGAAGCGUUAUUUUUUCAAAGGUUAAAACCAGAUAAUAACUUGCAAUCGAGUUGUUUGCUUGCAUGUCGGAAUGCGGAUGAAAUUUCAGCUUGGGCAAGUAUCAAGACAUGCAGUCAAUUUUAUGGCUGUUUCAGUGUUUUACUUCCCCUGAUAAAUCGGAACACGUAUAUUCGCCUAAUUAUUAAUAUGUCUGCUUUUGAUUUUUAGGUAUUUAUACCUGUCUUGCACAUGACACUACAGAAAUGGCGAUUCCAUCGAGUCUUUUUAAUAACGCUCGUUCAGAUUUCGUUCGUUGUUAGAAUAACAAUUCGAAUAAAUUAAAAUAUACAAAAUUCCACUGCAGUGCCUGCUUUGCUCCUGCUCCAAUGCAGUUUUGUUUGAAUACUAUCAGGAAAAAAGUAUCGCUCCAUUUCAAUUGGGAAUUUCCACCGUUAUUUUGUUCACGAGAUAAGCCAGUAUGCCAAAUUCAACUUCAGUACAGCUACCCGGCUUUUAUUUGGCGACACCGAAAUGAAAUAUUGCCGAUUGAAACAAUUUUGCUGCGGCUGCUCACUCCAAACCGGCACUAAAAUAGUCGGUGUCAUAUGUUUGGUAGUUGGAACUAUAGGUUUCAUUUUGGGUAUAGUUGACAGUAUAUCCAAUGCUGUGGCUGUCAAUAAAGAAGCAGAUAUCUUACAACAUGUGAUUUCCCGAACAAAUAAUUCACUAAAUCUUGUUACUCAUAAUUACGCAAUGUCAGGUGCUAAUAAUAUCAUUCGAAUCAUCGGGUCAACCUUGACGAUUGCCACCACGAUUUUCCUAUUGAUCUCGGCUUGGAAAAAUCACAAGCCCAUGUUCCUUUUGCCGUGGAUCAUAUUAGAAGCGAUUACAUUUCUUAUCGUGAUUGGCUACUCGUUAUUCUUCGGCGUAUUUUUAUCCAUUGCUGGAGGCUAUGGAAUUGGAAUAGGUUACCUGAUUGGCUCUAUCGUUGGAGCAGGGCUUUGGCUUUUCUUCUGGUUGGUGGUCUUCAGCUACUACCUGGAACUGAAAGAAGACGCAAAACUACAACAAUUCUCAGAUCGGAACAUGAUUGAUUAUGACUUAGUGGCUUUUAACGACAGUGUGUAUCGAUCGCAUGAGGGCAAAAUUUUUUCUCGAGUUUGAAAGUGAUUGCGUUAUAGAUAAGCGCA
This is an RNA transcript of Daphnia pulex (common water flea), 3322 nucleotides long. RefSeq lists it as uncharacterized. Lineage: Eukaryota; Metazoa; Arthropoda; Branchiopoda; Diplostraca; Daphniidae. The transcript has 10 exons. The record is from RefSeq and is a predicted model, not a curated record.